Molecule: long non-coding RNA, 2540 nt
Organism: Mirounga angustirostris (Northern elephant seal)
Lineage: Eukaryota; Metazoa; Chordata; Mammalia; Carnivora; Phocidae
Exons: 3
Source: RefSeq, a predicted model, not a curated record
CAGAUGGCUUGGGCCUUCCCAAGACCGGGUCAUAUCUUCGCGGGCCCCCUCCCGCCAGAAAAUGACAGAGGGAGGGAUGUCUACAGCUCCCCCCUGGGGCUCUCCCCCAGGGCCAGCACCCCAGUGAGCUGAGUGAAAUGAGGGAGGCACUGGCCUGGGCGCCAGAAAACUCAAUAACCAGAAGUAGUAUUUGCAGCAGUACUUUUAAAAAUCAAAAUCAGUGCCACACCUCCAGGGGCAUGCCCUAAGGCCUUUCGGACCCUGAAGACCCAGGUUCCUGACGCUGAUGCUCCCUGCUUCACCCUGUGGGGUCGGCCUAGGGGCACCUCCAGGGGUGGAAGCCUCGCCCUGCUGAAAUGAGGGAGGGGCAGGAAGAAGGUCUCCUUCCCUUGGUCCCCAGAUGACCCAAACCAGGUCUGGAAGGUGCCUCCUCGCCAAGCCCAGCCAGUCCCUCCCUCCCCGACCCCUCCAGCCAGGGUCAGAGCCCAGGCCUGCCUGGCCAAAUCCCGCCACCAACGGCAGUUCUGCUAAGACGAGAUGCUGGUCAUGGGUAUGGAUUAAGCUCCUACUGGAUGCCACAGCACCGGACAAAAUAAGGGCAACUGUCAAGACUUGCUUCCCUUUUCAGUAUUCACAUUGAUCACUGGAGCUCCUACUUGCCCAGAAGAAGAGGUGGUCAAGCCUUCAUUGCCUCUGGAUGCCCUCUGGGUAGGAGCCUGGGGGAGAGGGGGCUAGCACCAGCCUCCACCCCUCCCCUGUUAAGCCCUCACCCCCUUCAGGACUGAUCCUGGACCCUGAGGCUAGAGUCAGGUUCACUGACUUCAGUUCAGUGAACCUUCAGGUUCACUCGGGCAGGAUGAACUCCGCUCUAAGUGGGGAUGUCCUGAGCUGUGGGUGAAGAUGGCAGGUGGAGUGGUAGUGGUCGCCUUAAUUUCUCUCUGCCCAGGAGGCCAGCCACUUCCUUCCUUCGCUCCCCAUGGAGCAGGUGGUGGCUACCAGCCUUACACGCCUACAUAACCAAGAGGGAGUCCGGGGCCCCCAGAAGACCUGUUCUGCAGACAUUUUUGUAUUCCCCAGGAGAAGCACCUGGCAACUUAAACUUUUAAAAAUAACUUUAACAUUUUUUAGUAUAAUAUAUACACAGAAAAGUACGCAAAGUGUACAGUUUGAUGAAGGAUCCCGAAGUGAGCAUACCCAUGGAACUACCACCUCGAUCAAGAAAUGGAACAUUCCAGCAGCUGGUCACUGCUAACAGGAAGCAGGGAGCUGCUUGAAGUUCUGCCUAUGUCAGCACUUGGCCACAUCUAGAACUAUUUUCUUCAACACGAUCUUUAAUGACUGAAUUAUGUGGAUAAAUCAUAAUUUAAUAACCUCCCUUUGUUGGUUUCAUUUUACUUUCUUAGCUCUUCUAAAUGAUGCUGUAAUAAGCACCCUUGCACACGAAUCUUUGUGUCUGCUCUGCUCUGUACUAGCCUCAGAGGGCCUGAGGUUGGUUCCAGCCCUUAUCUGUGAGCUGCACGACUCACUCUGCCUUUUUUCUUUCUAUAAAAUGGCAAGAAUGGUAAGGAUUUAAAUGAAGGGAUGUGUCGGGUGUGUUUAGUACACAGUCCCGUGCUUACAAACACUCAAUAAGCAGUAGGCAUUAUGAGCACCUUAGCUUAAUUUGUUAGAAGUUGGAUUUCUGGGGGCGCCUGGGUGGCUCAGUCGUUGAGUGUCUGCCUUGGGCUCAGGUCAUGGUCCCAGGGUCCUGGGAUCGAGCCCCACAUCGGGCUCCCUGCUCCGCGGGAAGCCUGCUUCUCCCUCUCCCACUCCCCCUGCUUGUGUUCCCUCUCUCACUGUCUCUCUCUCUGUCAAAUAAAUAAAAAAACAUUAAAAAAAAAAAGUUGGAUUUCUGGAGAAAGGGUUUGAAUAUUUCUAAGGUUUUGACGCAGGUUACUCAGCUGCUUCCAGAAAGGUGGUCUCCAUUUACCUGCCCAGAAUGCCCUGGCUCUUAUCACCACUGUGUACUAUCUUCUUAAAAGAACAUUAAACAUGGGGUAGGGUUAAAAACCGUCAAUGUGUCUUUUUUUUUUAAGCUGCAUUCUUUGAUUACCUGUGAGAGUGAGCCUUUUCUCUUUUGUGUUCGUUGACCUUCCAUAUGGUUUCCCUGCCUCUACCUUUGUACACAAGUCUAUUCUAGGACGUAGCCAAAAUGGCCCUUUUAAGACAUAAGUCAAAAUUUCUCUCUUCUGCUUAAAACCCAGCAGUGGUUCCCCAUUUCCCCAGGAAUAAAAGCCAAAGCCCUCUUAGUGGCCUCCAGGGUCCUCACCAAUUGGACCCUUGCUCUCCCUGCCCCAGCCACACGGGCCACCCCUCUGUCCCUACAGCACCCCACCCCACCCCACCCCCCACAGCGCUCUGAACUUGAGCUUUGCUCAACUGUCACCUGCUCAGUGAGGCCCCAAUCCUUCACUCCUGAUCUCCUUACUUUUCUUUUUCUUUUAUCCAUAGUACUUUUUUUUUUUUUAAAGAUUUUAUUUAUUUGACAGAGAGAGACACAG